GCGAACGGGUGCGUAACACGUGGGCAAUCUGCCUUAAAGUGGGGGAUAGCUCGGCGAAAGCCGAAUUAAUACCGCAUGUGAUCAGGGGAGACAUCUUCCCGAAAUCAAAAGUGGCGCAAGCUACUGCUCUUUGAGGAGCCCGCGGCCUAUCAGCUAGUUGGUGAGGUAACGGCUCACCAAGGCUUUGACGGGUAGCUGGUCUGAGAGGACGACCAGUCACACUGGAACUGAGACACGGUCCAGACACCUACGGGUGGCAGCAGUCGAGAAUUUUUCUCAAUGGGGGCAACCCUGAAGGAGCGACGCCGCGUGGAGGAUGAAGGUCUUCGGGUUGUAAACUCCCGUCAUUUGGGAACAAGUGUCGGUACGUAACUGCUACCGGCUUGAUAGUACCAGAAGAGGAAGAGACGGCUAACUCUGUGCCAGCAGCCGCGGUAAUACAGAGGUCUCAAGCGUUGUUCGGAUUCAUUGGGCGUAAAGGGUGUGUAGGUGGCGCCCGUAAGUCGGGUGUGAAAUUUCGGAGCUUAACUCCGAAACUGCAUUCGAUACUGCGGUGCUUGAGGACUGGAGAGGAGACUGGAAUUCAUGGUGUAGCAGUGAAAUGCGUAGAGAUCAUGAGGAAGACCAGUGGCGAAGGCGGGUCU
This 644-nucleotide ribosomal RNA is filed under the name uncultured Verrucomicrobiota bacterium. RNAcentral describes it as "bacterial SSU rRNA". It matches the Rfam family "Bacterial small subunit ribosomal RNA", at positions 98 to 728 of the family's 1533-position model. Lineage: Bacteria; Pseudomonadati; Verrucomicrobiota. The record is from RNAcentral.